CGGACGGGUGAGUAACGCGUGGGUAACCUGCCUCAUACAGGGGGAUAACAGUUAGAAAUGACUGCUAAUACCGCAUAAGCGCACGGGGAUGCAUAUCUUUGUGUGAAAAACUCCGGUGGUAUGAGAUGGACCCGCGUCUGAUUAGCUAGUUGGUGAGGUAACGGCUCACCAAGGCGACGAUCAGUAGCCGACCUGAGAGGGUGACCGGCCACAUUGGGACUGAGACACGGCCCAAACUCCUACGGGAGGCAGCAG
RNAcentral lists this ribosomal RNA (255 nucleotides) under uncultured bacterium. RNAcentral's name for it is "partial 16S ribosomal RNA". It matches the Rfam family "Bacterial small subunit ribosomal RNA", at positions 99 to 354 of the family's 1533-position model. The record is from RNAcentral.